UACGUAGGGGGCUAGCGUUGUCCGGAAUCAUUGGGCGUAAAGCGCGUGUAGGCGGUUCGGUAAGUCCGCUGUGAAAGUCGGGGGCUCAACCCUCGGAUGCCGGUGGAUACUGUCGGACUAGAGUGCGGAAGAGGCGAGUGGAAUUCCUGGUGUAGCGGUGAAAUGCGCAGAUAUCAGGAGGAACACCGGUGGCGAAGGCGGGUCUCUGGGCCGAUACUGACGCUGAGGAGCGAAAGCGUGGGGAGCGAACAGG
Molecule: ribosomal RNA, 253 nt
Filed under: uncultured bacterium
Lineage: Bacteria
Description: partial 16S ribosomal RNA
Rfam family: Bacterial small subunit ribosomal RNA
Source: RNAcentral